RNAcentral lists this long non-coding RNA (375 nucleotides) under Scleropages formosus (Asian bonytongue). RNAcentral describes it as "lncRNA (ENSSFOG00015031030.1)". The record is from RNAcentral. Lineage: Eukaryota; Metazoa; Chordata; Actinopteri; Osteoglossiformes; Osteoglossidae.
AUGAGAAGAGCUUCUCCUUUACUUUGUCUCACAGGGCUUCUCUGGGCAACCAGCGUUAGUCUGGUAUGUGGGGAAGACACCAAUGAGACGACCCCAGACAGACUGGGCCGCUUCUUCUCUGCGCCGCAUUUCUGCGCUGCACCAAUCCAUCCCCGGAAUAAAACCCCUUUGCAGAGGCCGAAUGACACCCUGCGAGCAGUUGUUUUCAGCCAAAAACAUCUGUUGGGCAGCAGAACAAACAAAAGUGCAGGAGCAGCCGCCUCUCCCAUACUGCGGAGUGACCUGGCGUGUCACGAGAGCGGUUGGCUCGGCAGGUCAUCCGGGAACCUUUGGGAACGUGAGAAAACUUCUGAGAUGGAAGGAAAAACAACAUGA